CUGUAGUAGUACAAUUUUCAAAAAGAAUUAUCCAUCACAUUUAGAAUAAGUUAUGCAUGAGACAACAACACAAUUUCGAAAAGAAUGAUCCAUCACAUUUAGAAUAAGUUAUGCAUUAGACAACAACACGCAUCCAGCCAGAAACACACAUCCAGUCACACCACAGAAGUGGCACCUGGACCAUUUAUAUAAGAUGUAAGAUAAAAAUAUAUAUCAAAGAAAACAGUAAAAUGUAAGGUUAAGUAUUAUGAAAAGCACACAAAAAAAACUCGUGGUGUAUCAACAUCAAAAACUAUUUCAGCACCAAAAUAACAUGACUAUCUUUUUUAAUGCAAUUUGACACAGAAACCACAACUUAUAUGAACACAAUGAACACACUAACCCCACCAUAAUAUUGACAAAGCUGGGAGGUCACUUCUACUAGCUAACUCGAAACACCAAAAACAGCUCUUAUUGAACAUCCUCAUCAAUUCUAAAAUUUAUUGUAAAACAAUCCAAUAUCAAUUGCCCAUUUCUAAAUGAAUAAAGCCCAUCACACAUUCUUAACAUUUGUAAAAGAUACAUUAGGCGCACAUCACUUCAUCUAUAUAAUUAACAAAGUAGUGUUGCAUACAUCCAUCAAUGCUGUGUAUCUGGGAUGCAUAUUGAUGCAUAGUGCAGGCAUAAAGGAAUACCAGAGGGUCACUUGUGAUUUAUAUAGGAACUGCAAAACAUAAGGUAUAUUUGUCUACCUCUCAACUAAGGUUCUCAUGAAAGUCCAGGACCUACCUAAGUUGUUGAGAAAUUUGCAAAAUUUUGUAAGAUAUUGACCUUCAUCAGAACUUGAUUUGUGCUUCAUAGCCCAACACUUGUGAAAAAAUAAAUAAAAUGAUGCUAUUGAAGCAUUUUUUGGCUAAAUUACUGUGGAAGCUAAUAAAAAUAAUAAUUAUUUGCCAAAUAUGUUUGUUUGCUAACUUCUCUUUCCUUCUCAGUGUGUGAAUAUACUAAGUAACAUCUUAAAUUUGUGAAAAUUAAUUGUCCCCACAGUGAGCAGGUCAUAACCACUUUGAACAAUGAAAAAGCAGGUCAUAACCACUUUGAACAAUGAAAAAGCAGGUCAUAACCUCCCUCCCUCACUCCAAGUGAUAACUAUGUUAAAUAAGCAUCGAUAACAAUAACCAAAAGAAUUCUCCCAGCCUCUACCACACCCCUGCAUUCGAAGGAUCUCUUUCCAAUUCAUCAGAUCAUGCCAACACAGCUCAUAGCCUACUUCAUCCCAAACAUAAUGAAUAACAAACAAUUUUUUGGUACAUUGAACUAUAGUUGAAGAAGGAACAUGUGAACAGCAAACCAUAUUAAAACGCAUCUUUCACACCAUUAUGAUGUAAUAGACUACUUGCACAUAGCACUUAAAGUGAAAAACACACAUCAACCUUUUGCCUAGGUAUUAAACUCCAAGUUUACUGCCUACUGUUUGCUAGUGAGGUAGCCUGACAAAUGGUAAAAAAAUGAUAAUCACAAUUCUGUUGCUGUAUUCAGAAACAUUGGUUAGUAUAGGUGUUUCUUGCUCAGUUGUCUUGGAGGUAAGUAAAUAAUUACUAGCUUCAGAGCAAGACUUAAUAAGAGAGUACCAAAAGAACUAAUAAAAGAAUAAGGGUCUCUCAGUAUAAUGGAAACACAAAACAAAAGACUCAAACUCUCUCCUAAAUUCUGCUAACUUCAUGACCUGAAAAUGAAUUGGAGAAAUGAUGUUGGAAGAACCUUAAAAGCAGCCGACCACUAGAAAAGGUUGCUCAUCGUUUCUUAUUCAAUAAGAUUGGCAUAUUUUGCUGAGUAUAAUCUGAAUUAAUUUAGGCAGCCAAUCAUCAAGAAAGAAGAUCACAAAGAAAAGG
Molecule: long non-coding RNA, 1871 nt
Filed under: Musa acuminata (dwarf banana)
Lineage: Eukaryota; Viridiplantae; Streptophyta; Magnoliopsida; Zingiberales; Musaceae
Description: long non-coding RNA (MACU_LNC006323)
Source: RNAcentral